CACUCUAGAGAGACUGCCAGGGAUAACCUGGAGGAAGGUGGGGAUGACGUCAAAUCAUCAUGCCCCUUAUGCUUAGGGCUACACACGUGCUACAAUGGGUAGUACAGAGGGUUGCCAAGCCGUAAGGCGGAGCUAAUCCCUUAAAGCUACUCUCAGUUCGGAUUGUAGGCUGAAACUCGCCUACAUGAAGCUGGAGUUACUAGUAAUCGCAGAUCAGAAUGCUGCGGUGAAUGCGUUCCCGGGUCUUUUACACACCGCCCGUCACACCACGGGAGUUGGAGACGCCCGAAGCCGAUUAUCUAACCUUUUGGAAGAAGUCGUCG
This 323-nucleotide ribosomal RNA is filed under the name Clostridioides difficile. RNAcentral's name for it is "bacterial SSU rRNA". It matches the Rfam family "Bacterial small subunit ribosomal RNA", at positions 1136 to 1458 of the family's 1533-position model. Lineage: Bacteria; Bacillati; Bacillota; Clostridia; Peptostreptococcales; Peptostreptococcaceae. The record is from RNAcentral.